Molecule: long non-coding RNA, 650 nt
Filed under: Setaria italica (foxtail millet)
Lineage: Eukaryota; Viridiplantae; Streptophyta; Magnoliopsida; Poales; Poaceae
Description: long non-coding RNA (SITA_LNC007168)
Source: RNAcentral
ACACUCAAAACGUAUACCAGACGACAUUGUGGUAUAUUUUUCUUCUCAGAGUCUAACCAAAUAUUAGCUAAGGUACUGAAUGCCACUAGUAUUAUUAAUUAAAGUCACCACUGUUUACUGGACAUGUAGCAAAUAUAUAUGGUACGUCCAUACAGUAUCACAGCCAUUCUCAGCCUCUGCAUUUAGAACUAUUAGAUUAUAUAGAAGCACAGUCCUGCUUGUCACAAUCUGAAGAUAGAGGAACAGAGAAAGUAUGAGUGAGAGAUGCAGAAGGAAAUAGGAAACAACAAAGUGAUGUCAGCAUGCAUCAUUGGGUUCUUUCAGUGCAUAGUGGUGGGAGCAUCAAGAGUCUGGGAUGAACUCUGCUGGUCACUAAGAUGGUUCCUGCAUGUGCACCGCGGCAGAUCUCAUUGAAACAGUCAUCACAUGGCCAAUAGUUAAUCCUGAUCCAAGAAAUCCCUGUCAGGCAAUAUCCUAGCUUCAAACACAUUGCGCAUGACAGAGGAGAUUCACAUCAGAGUACAGCUGAUAGAGCUCCGGCUCAUGCAUGCAUAAUCUCGGCGUUCUUGGCAUCUCAAAGACCCACUAUUACAGUGGCUAGUGUUUCCUACUGCCAAUAUGUAUGCGCAUGAGAGAAUAUGAGUUACUAG